This 484-nucleotide ribosomal RNA is filed under the name uncultured bacterium. Its description in RNAcentral is "partial 16S ribosomal RNA". It matches the Rfam family "Bacterial small subunit ribosomal RNA", at positions 30 to 507 of the family's 1533-position model. The record is from RNAcentral.
AUUGAACGCUGGCGGCAGGCCUAACACAUGCAAGUCGAGCGGAUGGAGGGAGCUUGCUCCUGGAUUCAGCGGCGGACGGGUGAGUAAUGCCUAGGAAUCUGCCUGGUAGUGGGGGAUAACGCCCGGAAACGGGCGCUAAUACCGCAUACGUCCUGAGGGAGAAAGUGGGGGAUCUUCGGACCUCACGCUAUCAGAUGAGCCUAGGUCGGAUUAGCUAGUUGGUGGGGUAAAGGCCUACCAAGGCGACGAUCCGUAACUGGUCUGAGAGGAUGAUCAGUCACACUGGAACUGAGACACGGUCCAGACUCCUACGGGAGGCAGCAGUGGGGAAUAUUGGACAAUGGGCGAAAGCCUGAUCCAGCCAUGCCGCGUGUGUGAAGAAGGUCUUCGGAUUGUAAAGCACUUUAAGUUGGGAGGAAGGGCAGUAAGUUAAUACCUUGCUGUUUUGACGUUACCAACAGAAUAAGCACCGGCUAACUUCGUG